This 1702-nucleotide ribosomal RNA is filed under the name Rhodospirillaceae bacterium. Its description in RNAcentral is "16S ribosomal RNA". It matches the Rfam family "Bacterial small subunit ribosomal RNA". Lineage: Bacteria; Pseudomonadati; Pseudomonadota; Alphaproteobacteria; Rhodospirillales; Rhodospirillaceae. RNAcentral also lists the same sequence under 1 other name. The record is from RNAcentral.
UUUAUUGAGAGUUUGAUCCUGGCUCAGGGUGAACGCUGGCGGCGUGUCUAAGGCAUGCAAGUCGAAUGCUUCUUUGUUCUUUACUGCGUAAAGAGCUACGGAGCACAAGUUAAUAUUUAUAUAAAGUAACUUGUGUCCUGAAACUCAUGCGUAGCAAUGAGCAUAGGGGCAUGGCAAACGGGUGAGUAACACAUUAAUAAUCUACCCCAAAGUUGAGAAUAACCUACCGAAAGGCUGGAUAAUACUCAAUGUGUUUAAGCAAUACAAAUUGCUUAAAUAAAGUUUUAACGCUUUGGGAUGAGUUUAUGGCUUAUCAGCUAGUUGGUGGGGUAAUUGCCUACCAAGGCUAUGACGAGUAGCGGGCGUGAGAGCGCGACCCGCCUCAUUGGGACUGAGAUACUGCCCAAACUCCUACGGGAGGCUGCAGUCAAGAAUAUUCCUCAAUGCGCGAAAGCGUGAAGGAGCGACGCCGCGUGUCCGAAGAAGCUCUUCGGGGUGUAAAGGACUUUUUUUAAGGAAGAAUCACGACGGUACUUAAAGAAUAAGGGGCUGCUAAUCACGUGCCAGCAGCAGCGGUAAUACGUGAGCCCCAAGCGUUACCCGGAAUUAUUGGGCGUAAAGAGUAUGUAGGCGGUUUAAUAAGUUAUUUGUCAAAUUCUGAUGCUUAACAUCAGAUCCGCGAAUAAUACUGUUAGACUUGAGACUGGAAGAGGUAAGCGGAACUGCUGGUGUAGGGGUUGUAUCCAUUAAUAUCAGCAGGAACACCAAAUGCGAAGGCAGCUUACUAUAACAUGUCUGACGCUGAGAUACGAAAGCGUGGGGAGUGAAUGGGAUUAGAUACCCCAGUAAUCCACGCCGUAAACGAUGGAUACUAAACAUUGGUAGUUUCGACCCUAUCAGUGUUGUUUACCUAAAUUAACAUCUUAAGUAUCCCGCCUGGGAAGUACGAGCGCAAGCUUAAAACUCAAAGGAAUUGACGGGGACUCGCACAAGCGGUGGAGCAUGUGGUUUAAUUCGACGACAAGCGAGGAACCUUACCAAGGAUUGACAUCCCGAGAACUCUGAUGAAAAUUAGAGGUGCCGCAAGGAGCUCGGUGACAGGUGCUGCAUGGUUGUCGUCAGCUCGUGCCGUGAGGUGUACGGUUAAGUCCGAAAACGAGCGCAACCCUUACUCUAAGUUACUAUGUCUUAGAGAACUGCCCAGCCCUCAGUUUUUCAAACAAUUUUCAAUUUUCAAUUAUCAAUUUUCAAACAAUUUUCAAUUAUUUAAUUUAUAAAAUUAAAAAUUGAAAAUUAGAAAUUGAUUGGAAAUUGGAAAUUGGAAAUUGGAAAUUUGAGUGCUGGGAGGAAGGUGAGGAUGACGUCAAAUCAGCAUGGCCCUUAUUCCUUGGGCUACACACGUGCUACAAUGGUCAGUACAAAGGGUUGCCAAACCGAAAGGCGGAGCCAAUCCCAUAAAACUGGUCUCAGUUCGGAUUGAGGGCUGCAACUCGCCCUCAUGAAGUUGGAAUCGCUAGUAACCGUGAAUCAGCCUCGUCACGGUGAAUACGUUCUCGAGUCUUGUACACACCGCCCGUCAUGUCAAGGAAGCCGGCAGUGCCCGAACUCUGAUGUUAUUUCGGAGGAAGGUAAGGCUGGUAACAGGGACAAAGUCGUAACAAGGCAUCCGUAGCGGAAGCUGUGGAUGGAUCACCUCCUUUCU